GUGGAGGUUGAGGACUUCAGGGCACAACUGAAGGAGAGUAGCCUGGCUUUGUUCACCUUUUAACAAGAAUUUUUAGAAGCGUUUGCAGUGGUCCAGGAUAAGAGAUGUGGGUGCAGAGGAAAGGGUGGAAGGCAGUAGAAAUGGAAAGGAGUGAUGGAUUUGGGUUUUGUUUUCAAGGGUUUGGCGAUAGAUUGGAGGUGGGGUUUUAGGGAGAGGGAGGUGUGUCAAGGAUUCCCAAUAACUCACGUGAUCGAUUGGAUGACUGUUGGUGCAGUUAACUGAGGUGGGGUAGGCUAAGUUAGGAGCUGUUCUGGACAUGUUCAAUUUGAGGUCUUGGUGAUUCAUGUAAGUGAGAAUGACUGUCAGGGCCCAAGACAGGCCGCCCCCAAAAUAUCCUACAAUGGUAUAUUGACUACUUUGAAUUAAAGUUGCUUGACAAGCAGCUGGUGCCUGAAAGGCACUUUGACUUGCUCUUAUCUCCUUGAAUGCAGGAAAUAAAUGUCCCAUGUGAAAGGUGUCCCCCUGCUCGUGGAAGACACCCCUUAUCGCUUGAGUUAAACAGCUCAGAGCCAAACAGUCCGUAUAAACAAAUCUUGGCCUUUAUGAAUUUACUGCUUGAGCCCAAAUCUUGCUUAGAUACCCUUUUAAACAGCACUAACUUUCUUUGUCUUGUCACUUUCUCACAAGUUUAUUGUUUCUUUGUAUAAAAAAUAUAAAAAUUCCUGGUUUCAUAAUUUUUUUGGAGCCCCAUUUUAUUCGAACAUCAUGUUAUGAUUUCACAUGUGCACACAUUAAAUUGUUUUUUCUUCUGUUAAUCUAGUCAUGUCCAUUUUAUGAUUUUAUUACUAGUCCAGCCAUAAGAACUAAAGACGAGUAAAAGAGGAAAGUCCUCCCCCACACAACACAACAGGAAGCUGAAUGUUCACAUUUGAUCGUCCUCAUAGAAGAGAUCUGGACAGAAGAUGUUACUUUGGGAAUCGUUGGUAUAUUAAUGAAACCUUGUUCUCUCAGAGGACUUUUCCUCGUCAACCUUCUCAAGUGGAAGAUGACUACACUCUUGCACUCCAGGUGGGAAACAGGUGUGCUCCAUGGUCUUCAUUACCAAUUUCAGGCCAUUCUUACCCUAAUCUCCCUAAAACCCACACACUUUUAAUCUCACACUAUAAAACCAUAACACUCACUACUCCUCUUUACUGCAGUUAUCUGUGAAUUCUGGUUCUCACCAACUUGUGCCUAUAAGAUUUUAAAUCCUGACCUGUCUCUAAUAUUAUCCUUAUCGUAUUUUGAUCGCCUAUUAUGAGCAUCUUUACCUCCCUCAACCUUAAUUUUCACCAGUUCCUCAUCCUAUAAGUCCUUAAACCUGGGAUCAAUCCAACCUCUUGUGCCUGACACCUGGGUUACAGAAUGCUGCUGGAUAAAGUCACAUAGUGUGGCAGACUGGUGCCACUAGAAAUUGAGAACAACAGUUGGGAUUAGGCCCAGGAGAAUCUUUACAAAAAAAGACACUUGAAGCAUAAACUCUACUGGACAAGACAAUUAGAUUGUAAUAGGUGCUGUGAAGGAAGUAAUGUGCUAUCAUGGGGCAUAGGGAGAAACUUGAGAUAGGAUGCUCUGAGAUUGGUCUCCGGUGACAGAGACCUGGGGUAAACUGAGACCUGAAGGAAAAAAAAAAAAAACAGGCAGAAGGAACAUCAAGUGUAAAAA
Long non-coding RNA from Pteropus alecto (black flying fox), 1704 nucleotides. RefSeq lists it as uncharacterized. NCBI's taxonomy places the organism in Eukaryota, Metazoa, Chordata, Mammalia, Chiroptera, Pteropodidae. The record is from RefSeq and is a predicted model, not a curated record. The transcript has 2 exons.